GAGCUACAGGACAGUUAGGCUGGAGAUUCCUGCAGCCUGGUGGAAGUCCCAUUGGCUUUCUCCAUUGUCUUUCUCUAUUGGCUUUCUGCACAUACUGGAACACAGUGCUUUGGUGGUGGCAAAAAAACACAUGAUACAGCUGUGCUGCCGACCGUGCUGCAGGUGGCGAUGCUGCACCAGGACUGUGCCGAGAUUCAGCUCCAGAAAAUCAAGAAUUUUACGAAAAUAGCAAAGCCUUUUGGCCUCUCGUACAGGAGAUAGGAGUGCACCCAGCAUGGUACCGGUUAAUAUUGUCUUAGAUGAUGGUUUGGGAAUACUAAUGGGAGGUAAGAGCUGUGGACUGAGCUGUAUUUCAGCACAAGCAGAGCCCUUUAACCAGCAAACUUGUUCUGGGAAAGUUUCCAGCUCCAACCAUCUCUUGCGUUGUGGGGUGUGGGAUCUCAUGCUAGGAGCAUCAAAGAAGUCUCGGGAGACGUUUCAAAAGAGGACAGGAGCCUGGGAGGGAGACUUAAAAAUCCUGGCUCCGGUACAAAUAAAAUACACUUCAGUCUCAAAUUAAUGUAAAAUAUUAGGGAACUGUCUCUCAGAGAUUAUUCCCAAUGUGGAGUUAAAAUACAAACAUCCAAACAAAAAGGAAAAGCUGGCUGGUGUCCACAAAGAACAAGUGGUCUGGUUCUGAACCCCUGAGCGAUGAUAAUUCUCCAAAACUCACCUCUUUGGGUAGAUUCCACUUUGCAGGUUUUAUCUGCAUUGUCUGUUUAAAGAAAAUAAAAUAAAUAGGGCUGCUUUGAAAUAUUACAGGUAUCUGAGAAGAACAAGAACUUCUCCUUUGACCUAGAACACCAAUUCAUGGAAGGGAGGCUUUGUUUAGAAACUUUGUUUUUCCUUCCAGAAAUUGGACAAAUGUAUGUUGCCAAGAGUGGUCAGCUGGAGAUAUUUGGACACUUGAAAAGAUCCUCAGAAACUGCUUUUGGAGGACUUUGAGCCCGUGCUGCAAGGGGUACCAGCAGCCAUCAGGAAGUUUGCAGAUUUGUGGCCAGCGCUCUCAUUUCUUGGUGCAACGUCAACCAUGCAAAUACCAGGAUCAUCCAGGCACACGGCUGAAAGACGACCCGAACGCAGCGCUCCCUGUGCUGUGUGCGGAGCAGCCCCGCGGCUCGGAGCGGACUCGUUGCGGUGGGACCCGUCCGCCCUUCGGCCCCGCUCCCCUCUGGGGCCGAGCGGCGUGCGGCCAACAGCCAGAGCCGUUCGCAACCCGCUGCCGUCAGCUCGCGGCUCCGCGCGGCCGUCUCGUUGCGCUGAUUGAUACGCGGGGGGCCGGGGCCGCUUCCUCCUCCCGCCGUCCUUUUCCUCCCGCCUCGCUCCCGCAAGGAGCCGGCUCGGAGCAGGGGGCGACGCCCGCGAAGCCGCGACCCCCCCCGGCCCGGCCGGGCCCGUCGCUCAGCGUUCAGCCCCCGCCGCUCACGGCCGCGCACCGCAGUUUCCUCGGCGGCGGCGGGGCGGAGCGCCGGCCGCGCUCGCUCCGGGCACGGACCCCUUCCUACGGGCACCGCUCACCGUGUGACCGCCCGUCUCUCCCCGCCCGGCGGCAGCGCCGCGUCCCCCGCAGCCCGGAGCGGGAGCGGCCGGUACGGAGAUGGAGGCGGCGAGGCCGGGGGCCGCCCGCGCACAAAGCACGCACCGCACCACGCGUCCGUGCGUUUUGUAAAAACGUUUAUUUAAAUCUUUUUUUUUUUUUUUCUUUUACGUUGAUUUUUUUUUUUUUUUUUUUGGAAUUUUUCCUUUUACAACAACAAAAUAUUGCGUCGGUAGAAACCCCUCCGCCCGAGCCCGGCCAGCACCACCCGUACAGCGACUGCCCCGUGUGCGGCCCCGCACCGCUGGGCCCUCUGCUGCCUUCGGCUUUGGGUUCUAUUUUUUUUUUUUUUUUUUGUUAUUUUUUUGUUUUUCUUUCUGAAACUUUUUUUUUUUUUCUUUAAACAUAAUGCGGAAUUUAUUGAAAAUAAAUAAUUGUUGGCAACUGCA
This is a long non-coding RNA of Phasianus colchicus (ring-necked pheasant), 2025 nucleotides long. Lineage: Eukaryota; Metazoa; Chordata; Aves; Galliformes; Phasianidae. The record is from Ensembl.